RNAcentral lists this ribosomal RNA (253 nucleotides) under uncultured bacterium. Its description in RNAcentral is "partial 16S ribosomal RNA". It matches the Rfam family "Bacterial small subunit ribosomal RNA", at positions 524 to 776 of the family's 1533-position model. The record is from RNAcentral.
UACGGGGGGGGCAAGCGUUGUUCGGAAUUACUGGGCGUAAAGGGCUCGUAGGCGGCCAACUAAGUCCGACGUGAAAUCCCCAGGCUUAACCUGGGAACUGCGUCGGAUACUGGAUGGCUUGAAUUCGGGAGAGGGAUGCAGAAUUCCAGGUGUAGCGGUGAAAUGCGUAGAUAUCUGGAGGAAUACCGGUGGCGAAGGCGGCAUCUUGGACCGACAUUGACGCUGAUGAGCGAAAGCUAGGGGAGCAAACGGG